This 463-nucleotide ribosomal RNA is filed under the name uncultured bacterium. RNAcentral's name for it is "bacterial SSU rRNA". It matches the Rfam family "Bacterial small subunit ribosomal RNA", at positions 28 to 507 of the family's 1533-position model. The record is from RNAcentral.
GAUGAACGUUGGCGGCGUGCCUAAUACAUGCAAGUCGAACGAAGACUGUAGUAAUACUGUCUUAGUGGCGAACGGGUGAGUAACGCGUGGGUGACCUGCCCCGAAGUGUGGGAUAACAGUCCGAAAGGAUUGCUAAUACUGCAUAAUAUCCAAGAGAUUAGAUGCUUUUGGAUUAAAGGAGUAAUUCGCUUCGGGAGGGGCCCGCGUCCCAUCAGCUAGUUGGUAAGGUAAUGGCUUACCAAGGCGAUGACGGGUAGGGGACCUGAGAGGGUGGCCCCCCACAAUGGAACUGAAACACGGUCCAUACACCUACGGGUGGCAGCAGUAGGGAAUAUUAGUAAUGGGCGAAAGCCUGAACUAGCAACGCCGCGUGUGCGAAGAAGGCCUUCGGGUUGUAAAGCACUUUUUGUAGUAGGAUGAGGAAGGACGGUACUCUCAGAAUAAGUACUCGGCUAACUACGUG